UACGUAGGUGGCAAGCGUUGUCCGGAUUUAUUGGGUUUAAAGGGUGCGUAGGCGGCAUUUUAAGUCAGUGGUGAAAUACUUCAGCUUAACUGGAGAGGUGCCAUUGAUACUGGGAUGCUUGAGUACUGAUGAGGUAGGCGGAAUGGACGGUGUAGCGGUGAAAUGCUUAGAUAUCGUCCAGAACACCGAUAGCGAAGGCAGCUUACUAAGGAGUAACUGACGCUGAUGCACGAAAGUGUGGGGAUCAAACAGG
RNAcentral lists this ribosomal RNA (253 nucleotides) under uncultured bacterium. RNAcentral describes it as "partial 16S ribosomal RNA". It matches the Rfam family "Bacterial small subunit ribosomal RNA", at positions 524 to 776 of the family's 1533-position model. The record is from RNAcentral.